This 1138-nucleotide long non-coding RNA is filed under the name Rattus norvegicus (Norway rat). RNAcentral's name for it is "long non-coding RNA NONRATT007967". The record is from RNAcentral. Lineage: Eukaryota; Metazoa; Chordata; Mammalia; Rodentia; Muridae.
UGCCCAUUGCACUGUCAGGAUGCCGUGCUCAGGUCUGAAGCAGGUUUGAGGCCUGCCAACAGCAGUAUCCCAUCCUGGGAACCCAUGCUGUGACCUCCUAUUCUGUGACCUCAAUCAUCAGUCUCCCCUGCAUUUGGGGUGGCCCAGACAAAGGGAAACAUCGGCUGUUCCAGUCCUGUCCUCCUGGUGUCAUGUGGUGUCCAGGGCCCGCAAGUGCAAGACAAGGAGACAAGCCUGUUGCCGCAUGUGGGGUCAUCCAGGUCCUUCAGAAUUCCUUUCCUGUGACUUCCAGACUUGGCCCGUGUCACAUCCUUAUCUACUUGUGCUCCACUGGCAAGCCCUGCAGUUUUUGGCCUCUGUAGCAGCAGUGAAGUCUCUUCAUUUCUUGCAACCCCACUGGCACCUAAUCCUCUGGGCUACUGUUCCAACCUCUGCAGAAUGGAAUGUACCCUCCUUAGUGGAUUCCACUGACGGGGAAAUCUCCACAACCCCUGAGCCACGUGGAAAAUGGUGAGUGUGGAGGCCAUCUGGACAGGAUGAAGGCAGCAGCCAUUCAAACCUGCUGUGCUGGCUCAGAAACUCCCUAGGCAAUGUCUUCUCUAUGUCUUAGCUCGGUCGCCAUGACGUUUCAACAUUGCCAGGGCCUCGGCCUAGAGCCUCUUAGGCCUCCCAGAUGGGGCCCUUCUGCGCCUGUUCUCCACCCACUUGUACUCUGCAGUUGUGGAAGAGGCAGAUACACUCCUGGGACGGCCUCCCUUGGUUUCAGCCCUCCAAGGUCAUACUCCAUGUUGCUGCUGUCAUCCUGGUCUUUUAUCUGAAGUUUAGCUGGAGCUCCAAACCAGGACAGUUCUCAGACCAAAGAUGUCAUCUUACUAAAGUCUGUUUCAUCUUGUAUGAAGAGGAAGAAACAAACUGCUCUUAGGCAAGAUGUCAAGGAGUCAGCCCUUGAAACUAUCUCCAGGCUAGCUGGUAAGGUGCUGUGCUCAGAUUUGAACCAGUGGCGUUUGGAGGGUGGCACGUGUCUGAAGGUUCAAGUGUCCCGAUGUGUGUUACAGAUGGUGGAGACAGAAGGGUUAGGGGAAGGGAGCACUUGACCCUCAUCCUUCUCUGCUGCCCCUGAGAGGCUGCAGGCGGUAUG